This 88-nucleotide transfer RNA is filed under the name Rhodococcus sp. YH1. Its description in RNAcentral is "tRNA-Pro". Lineage: Bacteria; Bacillati; Actinomycetota; Actinomycetes; Mycobacteriales; Nocardiaceae. RNAcentral also lists the same sequence under 1 other name. The record is from RNAcentral.
GGCGGGACGCGCGCCGAGUCACCGCGUCACGGGCGCGCGCCACAUCUUCCACAGGGUGGGGCCGCCGUUCGGGACGGCGAUCUCGCCG